This 425-nucleotide ribosomal RNA is filed under the name uncultured bacterium. RNAcentral's name for it is "bacterial SSU rRNA". It matches the Rfam family "Bacterial small subunit ribosomal RNA", at positions 356 to 773 of the family's 1533-position model. The record is from RNAcentral.
GGGGAAUUUUGGACAAUGGGCGAAAGCCUGAUCCAGCCAUUCCACGUGCAGGAUGAAGGCCCUCGGGUUGUAAACUGCUUUUGUACGGAACGAAACGGCUCUGGUUAAUACCUGGGGCUAAUGACGGUACCGUAAGAAUAAGCACCGGCUAACUACGUGCCAGCAGCCGCGGUAAUACGUAGGGUGCGAGCGUUAAUCGGAAUUACUGGGCGUAAAGCGUGCGCAGGCGGUUAUGUAAGACAGGUGUGAAAUCCCCGGGCUUAACCUGGGAACUGCAUUUGUGACUGCAUAGCUAGAGUACGGUAGAGGGGGAUGGAAUUCCGCGUGUAGCAGUGAAAUGCGUAGAUAUGCGGAGGAACACCGAUGGCGAAGGCAAUCCCCUGGACCUGUACUGACGCUCAUGCACGAAAGCGUGGGGAGCAAAC